CAGCAGCCGCGGUAAUACGUAGGGUGCAAGCGUUAAUCGGAAUUACUGGGCGUAAAGCGUGCGCAGGCGGUUGCGCAAGACCGAUGUGAAAUCCCCGGGCUUAACCUGGGAAUGGCAUUGGUGACUGUACGGCUAGAGUGUGUCAGAGGGGGGUAGAAUUCCACGUGUAGCAGUGAAAUGCGUAGAGAUGUGGAGGAAUACCGAUGGCGAAGGCAGCCCCCUGGGAUAACACUGACGCUCAUGCACGAAAGCGUGGGGAGCAAACAGGAUUAGAUACCCUGGUAGUCCACGCCCUAAACGAUGUCUACUAGUUGUCGGGUCUUCAUUGACUUGGUAACGCAGCUAACGCGUGAAGUAGACCGCCUGGGGAGUACGGUCGCAAGAUUAAAACUCAAAGGAAUUGACGG
RNAcentral lists this ribosomal RNA (407 nucleotides) under uncultured bacterium. Its description in RNAcentral is "bacterial SSU rRNA". It matches the Rfam family "Bacterial small subunit ribosomal RNA", at positions 509 to 916 of the family's 1533-position model. The record is from RNAcentral.